This 253-nucleotide ribosomal RNA is filed under the name uncultured bacterium. RNAcentral describes it as "partial 16S ribosomal RNA". It matches the Rfam family "Bacterial small subunit ribosomal RNA", at positions 524 to 776 of the family's 1533-position model. The record is from RNAcentral.
UACGUAGGUGGCAAGCGUUGUCCGGAAUCAUUGGGCGUAAAGAGUGUGUAGGCGGUCCGGUAAGUCGGCUGUGAAAGUCCAAGGCUCAACCUUGGGAUGCCGGUCGAUACUGCCGGACUAGAGUUCGGAAGAGGCGAGUGGAAUUCCCGGUGUAGCGGUGAAAUGCGCAGAUAUCGGGAGGAACACCUAUGGCGAAGGCAGCUCGCUGGGACGUUACUGACGCUGAGACGCGAAAGCGUGGGGAGCAAACAGG